GAGUUAGAUAUUGUCUCCUCUGACCUGAAAGCCACCUGGGCAGCAUUAUGACUUCUGACCUCCUCUUUUGGAGUAAAGAGAUCAUGGAAGUUCUCUACACUCUCCAGGGACUAGUGGGACCCAAGGAAGGUAAGGGUCACUACUCCAAUGGCCCUUAGUUAUCCCGCAGGCCUCGGCUCUACCUACAGAAGUCUCCUACCUACAAAAAUCUUUGGGAGAGAAGCAGAUAUCAGUGUCUAUGCUAAUAUACCUUCCAAACUUCCAGGAACUAAAGGCUCUGCCUUUAGUGGCACACCAGUGGGUCUACAGAUUCAGCUAGCUCAGUAAGCACCUUGCUGGGGUACCAGGUAACCGUAUCCCUUUCCUGCAGGCACCACCAUUCUCUGUGAAUGGAUCUCUGGAAGGCUCCUUAUUUGACUUUAGAUAAUAAACUGUGGACAAAACACAAAAACCAACUACUGAAGUCUCUAAAGAAUGAACAAAAACACAUUCUUCCCCCUCCACAAGAAAACAUUUACAAUGUCUGGGAUGUAAUCCAAAAUUACUUGACAUAUGAAGAAUCUGGAAAAUGCAAUCCACCCCCAAUGGAAAAGACAAUCAACAGAAGCCAACCUUGAUACGACCCAGAUAUCAGAAAUAACAAGACUUUAAAGCAGCUAUAAUUACUGCUGAGGUAAGAGAAGACAUGCUCAUUAUGGAUGAAAAGAAUGGGAAAUCUCAGCAGAGAAACUAGAAAUAUAACAACAACAAAAACAAAUAGGAGCUUUAAAACUUGAAAAAUUCAAUAUCUGAAAUAAAAAGCUUACUGGAUAGGCUUAAUAGCAGAAUGAAGAUGACAAAAAAUUGAUUGGAAAAAGGUCAGUGAAAAUUACCCAAUCUGAAGAGGAGAGAGAAAAAAAUUUAAAAAGAAAGUGUUUCAGGACCCUCUGAAGUCCCAGAAGGUGGGGAAUGAGAGAAAGUGGUGGGAAAAAACAUCAGCAUAAAUUAUAGCUAAAAACAGUCCUAAAUUUGGCAAGAGAUAAAUUUAUAAAUUCAAGAAGCUCAUGAACUGUAAAGAAGAUUAAAAACAACAUCAAUCACAAAAAUAAAUGCCUAGGUUGAUAGAAACCAAAAAUAAAAAAGUUGUGAAAGGAGACAGAGAGAAAAAAACAUAUACAGGGCAACAAUUGGAAUCAUCGGACUUCUCUUUAGAAAAUAUGAAGUCCAGAAGACACCUGGAACAAUAUUUUAAACUUUCUGAGAUAGGAGAAGCACACUUCACUUUAAAUAUAAAGGCACAGACAGGUUAAAGUAAAUGGAUGUAAAAAGAGCAUGCAAACAGUGAAUGAUUAUCGUACUAAUAUUGGAGGGGGAAGCAUAUCACCUGCCUAGCUGCCACAGUAUGAUUUCAAAAAAAACAAGAACAUUCACCAAGAACAAACAAAAAAACCUCUUCAAAUAGACCAUGGAACUGAAUUCAAACUUGUAUCUGAUAACAGCGAUGACAAUAUCUCUCUAUAACAAUCCUGACCAGCAUAUAUCACAAUUACUACAGAGGCUACUGACAAGAAAUCCAACCUUGGUAUGCUGUACACGACUGUCCUCCCACCCUCCCAGUGAAAUCAAACAAAAUUAAUAAUAGUCUACUACAUCAGAGGGA
This 1639-nucleotide long non-coding RNA is filed under the name Homo sapiens (human). RNAcentral describes it as "non-protein coding lnc-KCNS2-4:3". Lineage: Eukaryota; Metazoa; Chordata; Mammalia; Primates; Hominidae. The record is from RNAcentral.